RNAcentral lists this ribosomal RNA (497 nucleotides) under uncultured bacterium. RNAcentral describes it as "partial 16S ribosomal RNA". It matches the Rfam family "Bacterial small subunit ribosomal RNA", at positions 28 to 507 of the family's 1533-position model. The record is from RNAcentral.
GAUGAACGCUGGCGGCGUGCCUAAUACAUGCCAGUCGAGCGAACAGACGAGGAGCUUGCUCCUCUGACGUUAGCGGCGGACGGGUGAGUAACACGUGGAUAACCUACCUAUAAGACUGGGAUAACUUCGGGAAACCGGAGCUAAUACCGGAUAAUAUAUUGAACCGCAUGGUUCAAUAGUGAAAGACGGUUUUGCUGUCACUUAUAGAUGGAUCCGCGCCGCAUUAGCUAGUUGGUAAGGUAACGGCUUACCAAGGCGACGAUGCGUAGCCGACCUGAGAGGGUGAUCGGCCACACUGGAACUGAGACACGGUCCAGACUCCUACGGGAGGCAGCAGUAGGGAAUCUUCCGCAAUGGGCGAAAGCCUGACGGAGCAACGCCGCGUGAGUGAUGAAGGUCUUCGGAUCGUAAAACUCUGUUAUUAGGGAAGAACAAAUGUGUAAGUAACUAUGCACGUCUUGACGGUACCUAAUCAGAAAGCCACGGCUAUCUACGUG